Xenopus tropicalis (tropical clawed frog) is the source of this 618-nucleotide long non-coding RNA. RefSeq lists it as uncharacterized. Lineage: Eukaryota; Metazoa; Chordata; Amphibia; Anura; Pipidae. The transcript is spliced from 2 exons. The record is from RefSeq and is a predicted model, not a curated record.
GUGUGUGGGGAGGGUGGCCGGAAGAGAUUCCCCCUAACCUGCCCAUGACCCGAAUAUGUUGUGAGAGUGUCGGCCCGAACCUCGAAAUAUAUUUCUGCCCCAGUUUCUCUUACGAUCAGACUGUUACGGCGGCAGACAUGUCCGAGCGGCACAUACACAGGAUUUAAUGAGCACGUUGCAGCGAGUUCCUUUGCCACAGCUCCCUUCAUGUUGUCUGACAGACAAAUGAGGUGCACGACAGGGCUGCCCUGUCACCUACUAGCACUCACAUCAUUUGCUAGAGCUCCGGAUUUGACACAUUGGAUUAUGAAAACAUGAAGAGUGCAGCAAGGCAAAGCAUAUUGUGUAAACAGCCACCAUGGGAUUUUUUAUUUUUACUGACAUGCUGCUUCCAGUGACAGAUGCAGGGCUUAGUCCCAUUACCAGAUUACCAAGAUGAUAGAAGGUUUGAAUUAUUCGGCACCUCUAUACCAGUAGCUUUGCCAGGAAUACCGAAUGUAUAUCUCUUAAUAGUGCAGCUCAUGAACAUGAGACUAUAAAUAUAUGUUGCUUUGUUAACUGUAACUUUCUAUGCAGUGUAAACAGUACUGUUAAUGAAAUAAAUCAUUUAUAAUAUAA